Molecule: ribosomal RNA, 484 nt
Filed under: uncultured bacterium
Lineage: Bacteria
Description: partial 16S ribosomal RNA
Rfam family: Bacterial small subunit ribosomal RNA
Source: RNAcentral
AUUGAACGCUGGCGGCAGGCCUAACACAUGCAAGUCGAGCGGAUGAAGGGAGCUUGCUCCUGGAUUCAGCGGCGGACGGGUGUGUAAUGCCUAGGAAUCUGCCUGGUAGUGGGGGAUAACGUCCGGAAACGGGCGCUAAUACCGCAUACGUCCUGAGGGAGAAAGUGGGGGAUCUUCGGACCUCACGCUAUCAGAUGAGCCUAGGUCGGAUUAGCUAGUUGGUGGGGUAAAGGCCUACCAAGGCGACGAUCCGUAACUAGUCUGAGAGGAUGAUCAGUCACACUGGAACUGAGACACGGUCCAGACUCCUACGGGAGGCAGCAGUGGGGAAUAUUGGACAAUGGGCGAAAGCCUGAUCCAGCCAUGCCGCGUGUGUGAAGAAGGUCUUCGGAUUGUAAAGCACUUUAAGUUGGGAGGAAGGGCAGUAAGUUAAUACCUUGCUGUUUUGACGUUACCAACAGAAUAAGCACCGGCUAACUUCGUG